RNAcentral lists this ribosomal RNA (273 nucleotides) under uncultured bacterium. RNAcentral's name for it is "partial 16S ribosomal RNA". It matches the Rfam family "Bacterial small subunit ribosomal RNA", at positions 524 to 796 of the family's 1533-position model. The record is from RNAcentral.
UACGGAGGGUGCAAACGUUGCUCGGAAUCAUUGGGCGUAAAGCGCACGUAGGCGGUUCGUUAAGUCGGAUGUGAAAGCCCUGGGCUCAACCCAGGAAGAGCAUUCGAAACUGGCGGACUAGAGUAUGGAAGAGGGUCGCGGAAUUCCCGGUGUAGAGGUGAAAUUCGUAGAUAUCGGGAGGAACACCAGUGGCGAAGGCGGCGACCUGGGCCAAUACUGACGCUGAGGUGCGAAAGCGUGGGGAGCAAACAGGAUUAGAAACCCCCGUAGUCC